ACGCACGCUGGCGGCGUGCUUAACCCCUGCCAGUCGAACGGUAAGGCCCCUUCGGGGGUACACGAGUGGCGAACGGGUGAGUAACACGUGGGUGAUCUGCCCUGCACUUCGGGAUAAGCCUGGGAAACUGGGUCUAAUACCGGAUAGGACCACGCUCUGCAUGGAGUGUGGUGGAAAGCUUUUGCGGUGUGGGAUGGGCCCGCGGCCUAUCAGCUUGUUGGUGGGGUGAUGGCCUACCAAGGCGACGACGGGUAGCCGGCCUGAGAGGGUGUCCGGCCACACUGGGACUGAGAUACGGCCCAGACUCCUACGGGAGGCAGCAGUGGGGAAUAUUGCACAAUGGGCGCAAGCCUGAUGCAGCGACGCCGCGUGGGGGAUGACGGCCUUCGGGUUGUAAACCUCUUUCAGUACCGACGAAGCGCAAGUGACGGUAGGUACAGAAGAAGCACCGGCCAACUACGUG
RNAcentral lists this ribosomal RNA (463 nucleotides) under uncultured bacterium. RNAcentral describes it as "partial 16S ribosomal RNA". It matches the Rfam family "Bacterial small subunit ribosomal RNA", at positions 29 to 507 of the family's 1533-position model. The record is from RNAcentral.